Molecule: unclassified non-coding RNA, 306 nt
Rfam family: Metazoan signal recognition particle RNA
About the family: The signal recognition particle (SRP) is a universally conserved ribonucleoprotein.
Source: Ensembl
GCCGGGCGCGGUGGCGCACGCCUGUAGUCCCAGCUACUCGGGAGGCUGAGACAGGAGGAUCGCUUGAGUCCAGGAGUUCUGGGCUGUAGUGCGCUAUGCCGAUCGGGUGUCCGCACUAAGUUCGGCAUCAAUAUGGUGACCUCCCGGGAGCGGGGGACCACCAGGUUGCCUAAGGAGGGGUGAACCGGCCCAGGUCGGAAACGGAGCAGGUCAAGAGUAAUUGUGGCUUCAUAGAAGGUAUUCGGUAGUGCUCCAUCUGUUUCAAUUUUGUGGAAUAGUUUGGAUAGUAUUGGUAUUUGGUGAUCU